AAUAACGGUCCCUCUUCCCCUCCUCGCGCUUUAGAAUGACGAACGCCACCAACGUUUACGGAAUAAUAAUUAACAACACGUUAAAACAGUAGUGACAAUAAAGCUUAUUAUUUCAUUAAGAUAAUAAUGAUGAUGAUAAUAAUAAUAAUAAUAAUAAUAAUAAUAAUAUGAAGGCCAAGCAAUUGGGUAGUAUUCAGUGUACAUCCUGCUCCGACAAGAACCACCGAAAAGGAGGAGCAUGACCUUGAUUUAAGUCCAUCAGUUUCAAUGGGGCUACUCGAGACAAUUAGCUUGAAUCACCUUUUAUAGAAGAUGGACAUGACAUCCACACUUCAGUACAAUCCUUUGGCUGUCUACUCGGAAGUAAGUUUCAUUGAAUUCAGUGGCAUUUAUUCCCAGGAAACUGGAUAGAGGAUUUGGAAACUUCAGUUGGUCCAAAGGGAGGUGACCAGAAUUACUAGGGGCACCUGAUGACUGGAGCAUAUAAUUCUAGACUUGUGCUAGAUCCAAUGAUUACCCACAAGGAUUCUUAUAUAAAGCUGCCCACAUUUUAAGAUCUAUUUUGGAGGCCCCGCUCCCUGCAUGAAUGAUCAAAGUGGCUAAACACAAGAGACAGGGCCUUUUCAGUAGUGGUGCCGAUGCUUUGAAAUGCCCUCCCUGUGGUGACUUGCCUGGCCCUGACAUUUCCUGGAAAGAAACAGAAAUUAUGCAAAUAGGCAUUUACCAUCUAGCUCUGCUGCUGUUUCUAACUGCUGCCUUUUAUGGUUGGUUGCUUCUAAUCCUUUUUAAAGUGCUUUAUUUGUUCUUUAUCGCAUCAUUGUGUCCCACUUUUUUUUUAGCGGCUCUGAGUAUUUAUUGGUAAAAGAGUGGGAUAUAAACAUUAAAUAGUAAUAAUAAUAAAUAGCAUCCAGAACGUCCUUUAAUGCAGCACUUUUUAGCCGAUUUUUCAUAUCAUCUCUCUUUGUAUCCCCCUCCUCCUAAGAGCAAACUCCAUCAGCCCCAGCCAGCAGGGUGAGGAUAUACUUCAUUAUGUCGUUGCAGCCACUUGAAUACAAUAUAAAACAGUAAUGACUUAA
This is a non-coding RNA of Podarcis muralis (Common wall lizard), 1076 nucleotides long. NCBI's taxonomy places the organism in Eukaryota, Metazoa, Chordata, Lepidosauria, Squamata, Lacertidae. The record is from RefSeq and is a predicted model, not a curated record.